GACGAACGCUGGCGGCGUGCUUAACACAUGCAAGUCGAACGGAAAGGCCCUGCUUUUGUGGGGUGCUCGAGUGGCGAACGGGUGAGUAACACGUGAGUAACCUGCCCUUGACUUUGGGAUAACUUCAGGAAACUGGGGCUAAUACCGGAUAGGAGCUCCUGCUGCAUGGUGGGGGUUGGAAAGUUUCGGCGGUUGGGGAUGGACUCGCGGCUUAUCAGCUUGUUGGUGGGGUAGUGGCUUACCAAGGCUUUGACGGGUAGCCGGCCUGAGAGGGUGACCGGCCACAUUGGGACUGAGAUACGGCCCAGACUCCUACGGGAGGCAACAGUGGGGAAUAUUGCACAAUGGGCGGAAGCCUGAUGCAGCAACGCCGCGUGCGGGAGGACGGCCUUCGGGUUGUAAACCGCUUUCGCCUGUGACGAAGCGUGAGUAACGGUAAUGGGUAAAGAAGCACCGGCUAACUACGU
This 467-nucleotide ribosomal RNA is filed under the name uncultured bacterium. RNAcentral's name for it is "partial 16S ribosomal RNA". It matches the Rfam family "Bacterial small subunit ribosomal RNA", at positions 28 to 506 of the family's 1533-position model. The record is from RNAcentral.